RNAcentral lists this ribosomal RNA (253 nucleotides) under uncultured bacterium. Its description in RNAcentral is "partial 16S ribosomal RNA". It matches the Rfam family "Bacterial small subunit ribosomal RNA", at positions 524 to 776 of the family's 1533-position model. The record is from RNAcentral.
UACAGAGGGGGCUAGCGUUGUUCGGAAUUACUGGGCGUAAAGGGCGCGUAGGUGGCCUGUUAAGUCGAGCGUGAAAUCCCCGGGCUCAACCCGGGAACUGCGUCCGAGACUGGCAGGCUCGAAUCCGGGAGAGGGAUGUGGAAUUCCAGGUGUAGCGGUGAAAUGCGUAGAUAUCUGGAGGAACACCGGUGGCGAAGGCGGCAUCCUGGACCGGUAUUGACGCUGAGGCGCGAAAGCCAGGGGAGCAAACGGG